This 396-nucleotide ribosomal RNA is filed under the name uncultured bacterium. RNAcentral describes it as "partial 16S ribosomal RNA". It matches the Rfam family "Bacterial small subunit ribosomal RNA", at positions 523 to 918 of the family's 1533-position model. The record is from RNAcentral.
AUACGUAGGGUGCAAGCGUUAAUCGGAUUUACUGGGCGUAAAGCGCGCGUAGGUGGCUAAUUAAGUCAAAUGUGAAAUCCCCGAGCUUAACUUGGGAAUUGCAUUCGAUACUGGUUAGCUAGAGUAUGGGAGAGGAUGGUAGAAUUCCAGGUGUAGCGGUGAAAUGCGUAGAGAUCUGGAGGAAUACCGAUGGCGAAGGCAGCCAUCUGGCCUAAUACUGACACUGAGGUGCGAAAGCAUGGGGAGCAAACAGGAUUAGAUACCCUGGUAGUCCAUGCCGUAAACGAUGUCUACUAGCCGUUGGGGCCCUUGAGGCUUUAGUGGCGCAGCUAACGCGAUAAGUAGACCGCCUGGGGAGUACGGUCGCAAGACUAAAACUCAAAUGAAUUGACGGGG